AUACCCAUUAGGCAAAUUUUACGAAAGUAAAAGACGCAAAGCCACGGACCUAAGGUUUUUACUAUGGUAGCCGGGUUACCAAG
RNAcentral lists this non-coding RNA (83 nucleotides) under Bacillus sp. (in: firmicutes). RNAcentral describes it as "Bacillus sp. c-di-GMP sequence". It matches the Rfam family "c-di-GMP-I riboswitch aptamer". From Rfam's summary of the family: GEMM was predicted in a large-scale screen for bacterial structured RNA regulatory elements. Genes associated with GEMM are involved in a diverse array of functions, including chemotaxis regulation, signal transduction, secretion and chitin. Lineage: Bacteria; Bacillati; Bacillota; Bacilli; Caryophanales; Bacillaceae. RNAcentral also lists the same sequence under 1 other name. The record is from RNAcentral.